RNAcentral lists this Y RNA (103 nucleotides) under Prolemur simus (greater bamboo lemur). RNAcentral describes it as "Y RNA (ENSPSMG00000021931.1)". It matches the Rfam family "Y RNA". From Rfam's summary of the family: Y RNAs are components of the Ro ribonucleoprotein particle (Ro RNP), in association with Ro60 and La proteins. The Y RNAs and Ro60 and La proteins are well conserved, but the function of the Ro RNP is not known. The record is from Rfam by way of RNAcentral. Lineage: Eukaryota; Metazoa; Chordata; Mammalia; Primates; Lemuridae.
CACUGGUCCGAGUGCAGUGGUGUUUUACAACUAAUUGAUCACAACCAGUUACAAAUUCCUUUGUUCCUUCUACACUUCCACUGCUUCACUUGACCAGCCUAAA